Molecule: ribosomal RNA, 263 nt
Filed under: uncultured bacterium
Lineage: Bacteria
Description: partial 16S ribosomal RNA
Rfam family: Bacterial small subunit ribosomal RNA
Source: RNAcentral
CGACCGGCGCGCGGGUGAGUAACACGUAUCCAACCUGCCGUCUACUCUUGGACAGCCUUCUGAAAGGAAGAUUAAUACAAGAUGGCAUCAUGAGUCCGCAUGUUCACAUGAUUAAAGGUAUUCCGGUAGACGAUGGGGAUGCGUUCCAUUAGAUAGUAGGCGGGGUAACGGCCCACCUAGUCUUCGAUGGAUAGGGGUUCUGAGAGGAAGGUCCCCCACAUUGGAACUGAGACACGGUCCAAACUCCUACGGGAGGCAGCAUG